AUUGAUCGCUGGCGGCAGGCCUAACACAUGCAAGUCGAGCGAUUUGCGUACGGGUGAUUAAUGUAUGGGGACUGCCUUUUAGAGGGGGAUCAGUACUGGAAAUCGUUGCUAAUACCGCACACUAUCGGAUAACCCAUAUGGGAUUAGCUAGUAGGUGGGGUAAAGGCUCACCUAGGAGACGAUCUCUAGCUGGUCUGAGAGGAUGAUCAGCAACACUGGGACUGAGACACGGCCCAGACACCUACGGAGGCAGCAGUGGGGGAUAUUGCUCAAUGGGCGAAAGCCAGAUGGAGCCAUGCCGAGGGUAUGAAGAAGGCCUUAGGGUUGUAAAGUACUUUCAGCGAACAGGCGUUGCCUGCAGAAGAAAGAACGGCUAACUCCGUGCCAGCAGCCGCGGUAAUAC
Molecule: ribosomal RNA, 403 nt
Filed under: uncultured bacterium
Lineage: Bacteria
Description: partial 16S ribosomal RNA
Rfam family: Bacterial small subunit ribosomal RNA
Source: RNAcentral